GUGCCGCCCCUGCUCUCGCGCUCCCCCUGCCCUCCUCCCCCACGCCGCCUCCUGCUUGCGCCGCCAUCCACCAGCGAUUCCCCGUCCCCGCCGCGUCGGCCGCCCGACGGCUACCCCCGACUCGCCGACCACCCGACCGCCAUGUCCGCGUCGUGCGCCACCAAGCGCGCCACGCGGACCGCAACCAGAAACCGCUGCUGCUCCCCUCUCGACUGCCACCGCUCCUUGGGUUCCUCUUCUUCGCUGCCUCGCUCUCGCCCUGUUCGCCUGCGUUGCGCCUCGGCGGCGGCUGACGGCAGAGCCCGGGGCGGCGAAGGCGGUGGCACCUGCCGGCCACGAGGCCCGGGACGGGGGAGGCAACCGCUGCGGCGGAUCCGGCCGAGGCGGCGACAUAUCCUGCUGGAGGGACAAUGGAUCUGGGAGCUAGCGGUGGUUCCUGGACGCGACGACCUCGGCCGGAGCUUCCUCAUGACGGCGACCGCGGGCGAAGUUUCCUGCCGGCGACAGGGCCCGGGACAGUGGAUCCGGCCGGCCCGGCGAUGGAUCUGGGAGCUAGCGGGCAUCGUCUUCCUCGUCGCCUCGCUCCAGCCCUGUCCGGGUCAGGUGCGCAUCCUCCGGUCCGCCUCUCCGUGGUUGGUGCUGCUGCCGCAGGCCUCCGGGCUGCCGCCGAUCUACCCACCGGAUGUCGGUUGCUGUCCACUACCCGACGUUUCCCACCGCCUCCCUCCAGCCUGCUUCCCCGUGGUGCGCCUCUUCCAGCACUGGUCCCUGCGCGUGGCUCUGCUGCCGUACGUGCCCAGCCUGAUGAACAUCUGCAUGAUGAAAUUGGUCAGAGGCUGUGUUUGCCAUUUGCAUUGACCUGCUCCGGCGAUGGGGAGGCGGCCAUGGGAUUUUUUCGUUGGGCCAAAGUAAUAGGCCAAUCAGGUGUCCAGCUUGCAUAAACUACAAGCCCCAUUAUGAGAAGGCUGCGAAACUAUUCAAUGGACGGGAUGCUGCAUCCAGGGAUUAUACUGAUGGCAAGGUUGAUUCUGCAUCAAAGGUGGACAUCGAUCUUUGCAAUAGAUUCUCAGUUGACCAUUACCUUUUCCUACUUCAGGGUUCAGAAUAAGAUUUGCUUCUGCUAAGUUGGACUCUAAGCAAGAGAAUAGCGACAUAAAAUUAAUUGAUCAUGGAACAACAGCAUAGCAUUUACUUAAGUGGAUAAAUAAUCGGAUGAAAAGGUAAGUUGUUUUCUUGGCCUUUUCUGCUCUCCGUAAAUGUUCAGUACAUAUGGAACCACUAGCUACCUGUACUAUUCUAAUGCCUCCCUAUUAACCGUGGUUGUUUUGAAAUAUCUUGGUAAGAACAUGUAUAUAAGGAUUUUAUUCAUAAAUUAUUUUUCGUUCGUAACUGUGGAUUUUUCCUUUAAAAGACAAAACCCCCUAGGUUUUCUUAUGCCAAAUUCCGCCAAAUACACAAAUGAAACCCAACCAUACAUGUCCCCCAAUUAUAUCUUCUAAAUCAUCCACACUAACAAUCCAACCCUCUCCCCCAAAAGGGGAUUUUAGUAAAUAGGUUUACCAGUUUACAGAAGGUAACACCACAAAAGCAUCACAUUUAAGAACACACAUAUAAGAUAGUGAAUUGACAUUUGGAAAUACGAUGCACCAUUUGUUGUGUUUACAGCACCAGAAUAUAUUCAUUCCAAAAUUAAAGUUUCGCAGCGAAACCUUUGGGCAAAUCACGGUCUUCAGUUCAGCCUCCCAGUUUGUGUUCUUGUUGGGCUCAUUGGCCCUGAUUGGUGAACAGCCCUGGUCUCACCGUUCAAACAUACAUUUUGGAGCAAGAGAUCUCGGCGUGGACACGUCAUCAGUUUUUUUUGGGCCGUCCGAUCGGAGAUGGAUGGAUGGAUGGGGGGCAGGCUGUGCGUCGCCACGUCUCGAUCGGUGGCUUCACGUUGCGCGCUCCCAAGCGUGCCAUGCUCUCGCCCUGUUCGCCUGCGUUGCGCCUCGGCAGUGGCCCUAAUAAUGCGAUGAAUUUUCCCCCGCUUGUACGAUCAUCGCCUUUGAUAUGAAGGCAAGAUAAACCUCCUUUAUCAUCUGUUCUUUUCUUCUGCAUCUUACAUUUCACUCAAGGUUUUAAUACUAAAUGCAAGAUCUUAA
Molecule: long non-coding RNA, 2141 nt
Organism: Oryza brachyantha (malo sina)
Lineage: Eukaryota; Viridiplantae; Streptophyta; Magnoliopsida; Poales; Poaceae
Exons: 5
Source: RefSeq, a predicted model, not a curated record